UGGGGAAUUUUGGACAAUGGGCGAAAGCCUGAUCCAGCAAUGCCGCGUGUGUGAAGAAGGCCUUCGGGUUGUAAAGCACUUUUGUCCGGAAAGAAAUCCUCUGGGUUAAUACCUCGGGGGGAUGACGGUACCGGAAGAAUAAGCACCGGCUAACUACGUGCCAGCAGCCGCGGUAAUACGUAGGGUGCAAGCGUUAAUCGGAAUUACUGGGCGUAAAGCGUGCGCAGGCGUUUGUUAAGACGGAUGUGAAAUCCCCGGGCUUAACCUGGGAACUGCAUUCGUGACUGCAAGGCUAGAGUAUGGCAGAGGGGGGUAGAAUUCCACGUGUAGCAGUGAAAUGCGUAGAGAUGUGGAGGAAUACCGAUGGCGAAGGCAGCCCCCUGGGCCAAUACUGACGCUCAUGCACGAAAGCGUGGGGAGCAAACAGGAUUAGAUACCCUGGUAGUCCACGCCCUAAACGAUGUCAACUAGUUGUUGGGGAUUCAUUUCCUUAGUAACGUAGCUAACGCGUGAAGUUGACCGCCUGGGGAGUACGGUCGCAAGAUUAAAACUUAAAUGAAUUGAC
RNAcentral lists this ribosomal RNA (565 nucleotides) under uncultured bacterium. RNAcentral's name for it is "partial 16S ribosomal RNA". It matches the Rfam family "Bacterial small subunit ribosomal RNA", at positions 355 to 914 of the family's 1533-position model. The record is from RNAcentral.